This 301-nucleotide ribosomal RNA is filed under the name uncultured bacterium. RNAcentral's name for it is "partial 16S ribosomal RNA". It matches the Rfam family "Bacterial small subunit ribosomal RNA", at positions 509 to 807 of the family's 1533-position model. The record is from RNAcentral.
CAGUCGCCACGGGAAUACGAAGGGUGCAAGCGUUACUCGGAAUUACUGGGCGUAAAGCGUGCGUAGGUGGUGGUUUAAGUCCGUUGUGAAAGCCCUGGGCUCAACCUGGGAAUUGCAGUGGAUACUGGGUCACUAGAGUGUGGUAGAGGAUAGUGGAAUUUCCGGUGUAGCAGUGAAAUGCGUAGAGAUCGGAAGGAACAUCUGUGGCGAAGGCGACUAUCUGGGCCAACACUGACACUGAGGCACGAAAGCGUGGGGAGCAAACAGGAUUUGAUACCCCAGUAGUCCCUGUCUCUUAUAC